Phalaenopsis equestris is the source of this 619-nucleotide long non-coding RNA. RefSeq lists it as uncharacterized. The record is from RefSeq and is a predicted model, not a curated record. NCBI's taxonomy places the organism in Eukaryota, Viridiplantae, Streptophyta, Magnoliopsida, Asparagales, Orchidaceae. The transcript is spliced from 2 exons.
CCUCACAAAACCAGGCCUCUAUAAAACCAGCUCCCUUCCUGGUUUUCUACUUCCUGCACGCAAACACCAUAUUGAAGCCCCGAAAUCUCAGUGUAAACACCACCUCCAACCCUUUCUCUUUCUAUCUCUAUCUCCCUACUCCUCCCAUUCCACCUUCCAAGCUUUCUCUCUCUCUCUCUCUCUCUCUCUCUCUCUCUCUCUAGUUUAUUCUUCAUAAGCUGAGCCAAGUUGAGCAGAAAACAGUUGGUUAUUGCAGCUGUGGCAUCAUCAAGAUUCACAUUUAUGUUGCCCUAAUGAGAAUCAUGAUGAUGCUGCAACAGCAGUUAUCAGCUAUACCAGAUUAUGUACAGUUUACUUAUGACCACACCAAGAUUUCUGCUGAAUAUGAAUCAAUAAUGAAGGAACAGUGAUUUUGAUUUCAGAAACUUGUGGAUUUUGGGGUUCUGUUUGUAAUUAGGGUUUUUGGAUGGAUUAUGCCAUUCAAGAUGAGUUUUUUUUUUUGGUCUGAAGUCAAUUUGUAAUGUGUUAAAUUAUAUAAAUGGCCAAAUUGAUUUGUUUUGUAAUAAUAUUAUUUUCAGUGUAAAAUAUUAAUUUCAUUUAGUGGGGUUAUUGUUUGUCA